GGGUCCGGACACACUGAGGAUUGACAGGCAAUUAUUGUGCUUUGUAGCCUUUUUUAAGUUGCUUACACAACAACAAAUUAUGCUAGCCCUUUCAUGAUUAUGUGAUAGGUGGUGCAUGGCCGUUCUUAGUUCGUGGAGUGAUCUGUCUGCUUAAUUGCGUUUCAUCAGGGACCAUGUUUAUUUAUGUACUUUCUUACUCGCUUUUUAAGCACUUUUUGUGUUUUUUAAGCUUGUACUUUAGUGCAAUUGGUCCUGAAAGCAACGAACGUGACCGCAUCCUCUUGUUGCCUUUUUAACUUGAGUUGUUUACACUUCUCAUAACAUAAGAGGCUUUCCUAAAACUAGAGGGACCGCUGCGACUUUUUUAAACCAGAGGAAGGUUGCGGCAAUAACAGGUCUGUGAUGCCCUUAGAUGUUCCGGGCUGCACACGUGCUACAAUGAUUAUUGCAGUGAGCAUCUCAUUUUAUUUUUUGUGCUUGUCUUGUCUGACUCUUUUACGAGGGAAAGACGACAGCCUUAGCCUGCUUCGAAAGUUCGCAGGU
RNAcentral lists this ribosomal RNA (543 nucleotides) under Leptammina grisea. RNAcentral describes it as "partial 18S ribosomal RNA". It matches the Rfam family "Eukaryotic small subunit ribosomal RNA", at positions 1220 to 1547 of the family's 1831-position model. Lineage: Eukaryota; Foraminifera; Astrorhizida; Saccamminidae. The record is from RNAcentral.